RNAcentral lists this non-coding RNA (45 nucleotides) under Echinostoma caproni. The record is from RNAcentral. Lineage: Eukaryota; Metazoa; Platyhelminthes; Trematoda; Plagiorchiida; Echinostomatidae.
ACACUGCUGACGAGUCCCGAUCAGGACGAAACAACUGUCCAGUGC